RNAcentral lists this ribosomal RNA (503 nucleotides) under uncultured bacterium. Its description in RNAcentral is "partial 16S ribosomal RNA". It matches the Rfam family "Bacterial small subunit ribosomal RNA", at positions 30 to 523 of the family's 1533-position model. The record is from RNAcentral.
AUUGAACGCUGGCGGCAGGCUUAACACAUGCAAGUCGAGCGGGGUGAUGGUGCUUGCACUAUCACUUAGCGGCGGACGGGUGAGUAAUGCUUAGGAAUCUGCCUAUUAGUGGGGGACAACAUCUCGAAAGGGAUGCUAAUACCGCAUACGUCCUACGGGAGAAAGCAGGGGAUCACUUGUGACCUUGCGCUAAUAGAUGAGCCUAAGUCGGAUUAGCUAGUUGGUGGGGUAAAGGCCUACCAAGGCGACGAUCUGUAGCGGGUCUGAGAGGAUGAUCCGCCAAGCUGGGACUGGGACACGGCCCAGACUCCUACGGGAGGCAGCAGUGGGGAAUAUUGGACAAUGGGGGGAACCCUGAUCCAGCCAUGCCGCGUGUGUGAAGAAGGCCUUAUGGUUGUAAAGCACUUUAAGCGAGGAGGAGGCUCUUUUGGUUAAUACCCAAGAUGAGUGGACGUUACUCGCAGAAUAAGCACCGGCUAACUACGUGCCAGCAGCCGCGGUAA